This 253-nucleotide ribosomal RNA is filed under the name uncultured bacterium. RNAcentral describes it as "partial 16S ribosomal RNA". It matches the Rfam family "Bacterial small subunit ribosomal RNA", at positions 524 to 776 of the family's 1533-position model. The record is from RNAcentral.
UACGUAGGGUCCAAGCGUUAAUCGGAAUUACUGGGCGUAAAGCGUGCGCAGGCGGCUUUGCAAGUCAGACGUGAAAUCCCUGGGCUUAACCUGGGAAUGGCGUUUGAAACUACGGAGCUGGAGUGUGGCAGAGGGAGGUAGAAUUCCACGUGUAGCGGUGAGAUGCGUAGAUAUGUGGAGGAAUACCGAUGGCGAAGGCAGCCUCCUGGGCCAACACUGACGCUCAUGCACGAAAGCGUGGGGAGCAAACAGG